This 362-nucleotide unclassified non-coding RNA is filed under the name soil metagenome. RNAcentral describes it as "partial contains 5.8S ribosomal RNA, internal transcribed spacer 2, and large subunit ribosomal RNA". The stretch from base 1 to 120 matches the Rfam family "5.8S ribosomal RNA", at positions 35 to 154 of the family's 154-position model. The record is from RNAcentral.
GAUGAAGAACGUAGCGAAAUGCGAUAAGUAAUGUGAAUUGCAGAAUUCAGUGAAUCAUCGAAUCUUUGAACGCACCUUGCGCUCCUUGGUAUUCCGAGGAGCAUGCCUGUUUGAGUGUCAUUAAUAUAUCAACCUUCUCUUUUUUGAGCUGUUUGGAUGUGGGGGUUUGCUGGCCUCUUAAAUGAUUCAGCUCCCCUGAAAUGCAUUAGCAGAACAACCUGUUCAUUAGCGUGAUAAUUAUCUAUGCUAUUGAAUGUGAGGGCAGUUCAGCUUUCUAACCGUCCUUGGACAAUUCAUCAUUAAUGUGACCUCAAAUCAGGUAGGACUACCCGCUGAACUUAAGCAUAUCAAUAAGCGGAGGA